RNAcentral lists this long non-coding RNA (205 nucleotides) under Physcomitrium patens. RNAcentral's name for it is "long non-coding RNA (PPAT_LNC001318)". Lineage: Eukaryota; Viridiplantae; Streptophyta; Bryopsida; Funariales; Funariaceae. The record is from RNAcentral.
UAGUGUGUUUUGAUUCUCCACAAUAUAAACAUAAUCCUUCUUGACGACGAUGAAUCUUUUCUUGCUCAGUAAGAAGUUUGAAACGUACUGCAUCAAUUUAUAUAUCCUCUAAUUCUGAAUGUAUAUAUAUUGAAGAGGUGUUGGUAUUGCCAUUGAAUUAUAGUAACAUUGAGGUCCACUAGUACCGUUUUCAGAUCGGAAUUCA